Lactuca sativa (garden lettuce) is the source of this 7455-nucleotide long non-coding RNA. RefSeq lists it as uncharacterized. NCBI's taxonomy places the organism in Eukaryota, Viridiplantae, Streptophyta, Magnoliopsida, Asterales, Asteraceae. The record is from RefSeq and is a predicted model, not a curated record.
CUACCAUAUGAACAUUAGGUAACGCUAAUCAUUUUGACGCGAUUGUCAUCGGUCAUGUCGUGAAUAUAUACAAUCUCUUUGCAAAAAUACGAAAAGCUUGCGCAAUCUCUUUUCAAUGGUCACUCCUUUCAGAAAACCAUUUACUAUGUUUGAUCCUAGCAAGUAAUGUCCCCUUAUAACACGGUCGUAUUUACUCCAUAUCUAGAGCAGAAUUAAAGGACUCUAACCACUCGAGUCAAUCAUAUAGUUAAGAAGCCUAACCACCUUACUUUAAGUUCUCUCAUGAAUACAAUAAAAGCACUACGCAACUACCAUCUUCGUCCAUUUAACUAUUCAUAUAUCCGUGUCUGACGAAGAACAAGAUGAUUAUGUAAGACACAAGAGGAAUAAAGAGAAGAUGAAAAAAGAAAAAGAAAAACUAUUUGCAGCGACACAGCACAGCAGCAGCUGAAGCAGCUGGCUGCAUACAGAUUGUUUUGGUCCCUUCCAAGAGCCAUUAAUGCGUUCUUAUUUCUCCAUCAUACGGCGUUACUAUCUGUUAAUUCUUCAAGAAACAUAAAAAGUUAAGGUACAUCAAUUUUCCCUUCUUCGAGUGAUGAAUAUAUUUAAAUAUUAUAUGUACUGGCUGUUGUGAAAUCCAACAGUCAAUUUAUUGAUUGUGCUGUGGGAAUUAAUUUAUAUGAUGAUCAUUUAAACUUUACUCAAUUAAGAUUCUAAGUUUAAUGGUGGCAUGGAUUACAAAAAUAUAAUUAUCCACCAUGAAGGGGCGACAUCCUUCCAUAUUUAUUAUAAACCAUCAUUGGAUUUUUUAUCAUCAUAGCUAAGGUACAGAAAUUACUGCGUCAUAUACUGUGUACGUUUAUUUUUCUAGGAAUUAGAUUUUGUAAAUCCAACUCAGGUUUUCUUGAGACUUCAAAAUAUAUAUCAAAAUGGGUGACGUUCCGUUGGGCGCAUUCACUGAAACAAAUAUUUUCUCCGUGUCAUUUUGAGAUAGGCCUUAAAUAUGAUGCUUAAGUUUCUGAUAUAUUAUUCAUCUGGGACAAUGGCUAGAGGUAUCAUGUGAGUACAAUAAGAGAUUAUUAAUUUGUUAGGUGCAUGGUAUUUGAUAGGGCACUUAGGAAAUCACAGUAAUUAAAAUCACUGUGAAACAAAUACAUGGAAACAAGAAUUACUAAAUAAUUCAAUUAUAGUUGAUGACCAUUUUAAAGAAGAUUAGUAAUGAUCCUCGUUCUUUUACUCAUAUUUCUUUACAAUCCACGGUAUUUUCCAUGGGUAAACUUUCGUGCCGAAUUCAGCUUCAUGUUUUGUCGCUACAAUUUCGUCACAAAUAAAAAAUAUUGGUAAUGACUAAUAACCUUUGUUCUUUUAGGGAUAAUGACUUGAGAGGGUAAGAUACUUUUGACUUUGAUCAUGUUUGGUUACUGAACUUUAUUUCGUGCUUUAUUAACCCUUUAACUUGUUGAAUUAUACUAAUGUUCCUCUUAAAGGAUUUAUCAAUCCUACGUGUACUUUUUAUCUUACAUGGCGAAAGAGGUGGCAUUUAGGCCUCAAUUUGUCGUCUCCUUCUCGUUAAACUUCACCCCGAAGUCUCAUUUGGUCCUUAAACUUGACUAGGGCACAAAAUUCUCCAUCGAUCAUUCGUCUCCUUCAAUCGUUCUGUUGAAUGGCAUCAUCUCCAAAUCUCACUGAUCAGAACUUCAUUGUAGUAGAUUUCCACUACAAUGGUCAGUUUGCACCUAAUCCCUUAGUUUACUUUGAUCCCGACAGAGCAUCAGUGCGAGAUGUUGACUUCAGUGCGUUUGGGUAUGAGCAGUUCAUGGAAUUCCUUCACAAGCUCACCAAAUCGAGAAGCAAAGACAUUUAUUUUUGCCUUCCACAAGAGUCUUUAGGUCUGGGAAUUCAUACACCGGUGAACAAGGGUGAUUACAAGGAAUUUUUGGAUUUGGCGUAUGCUAAUGACAAGAGAAUGAAUGUAUAUGUGGAUCACCAUAAUGAACCUAUCUUCGACUGGAUUGACGUUGAGGAAAGUGUAAGUGAAAAUGAAGACCUAGAUGAAGCUGAGGAUUCUGUUAUUCAAGAUUCAUAUUCUGUUGAUCAUGAAGAAGAUGAUGCCACAUAUCCAUUUUAAACAAACAAAACUACACAUGAUAGAUUCUUAAACAUCCUUUGUGAACCUACAGAGAGUGAAGAUCAAGAUGAUGAAUACGUGCCACCCCAGUACCAUGUGUAUGAUGAGAGACAGUUAUGGGAUCAGAUGAAACCAAUGAUAGGUAUGCGAUUUUCUAACCCUACUGAGCCUAAACAUAUGUUAAGAAACUAUGUAAUUGCUAAUGGGUAUGAUCUAUGGUUUGAAAAAAAAUGACUUUGAUAGACUGUUAGUGAAAUGUUGCAAAAAGAAUAAGUCACCAUCUUGCCCUUCCAGACUAUGGGCCUCCUAGAUGAGUAAAGAAAAGACUUUUCAUAUCAAAUCUCUAGUGAGUGAACAUAAUUUUUGUAGGGUGUUUAAGUUUGGGUCAAUAUUAACUUAUAGAUGGAUGGGGAAACAUUUUAUGAGUCAAAUUAUAGAGAACCCAAAAAUGAGUGCAAAGAAGAUGAAAGCUAAAGUUUCAACGACAUUCAACAUAAAUGUGAGUGUGGGGCAGUGCAGAAAUGCAAAAAAAAAUUGCAGUACAAGAGAUUGAAGGAAGUCUAAUUAAACAUUAUGGGAUAUUGUGGUCAUAUGGUGAGGAUAUUAUCAGGUCAAAUCCUGGGUCUACUUUGAGGUUGGAUGUAGACAUCAUGCCAGAUUCCACAACUUUGUUUUCCAAGUUCUAUGUAUAUUUCAAAGUUGUAAGGGAUGGUUGGUUAGAAGGGUGUAGGCUUGUAAUUGGGCUUGAUGGUUGCUUUUUAAAGGGUAUAGUUAGAAGAGAAGUUCUUUCAGCUGUUGGGAGAGAUGCAAACAACCACAUCUACCCUAUAACAUGGGUUGUGGUAUGUGUUUAGAAUAAAGAAACAUGGAAGUGGUUCAUAGAUUUGCUUAUGGAUGACAUUAAUGGUGGUUUUGGUGCAGGCAUUACCCUUCUUUCUGAUGGACACAAGGGGUGAUUACAAACAGUUAAGGAAAGAUGUCUAGAAGUUGAACAUAGGCAAUGUGCCAGACACAUUGUGGCCAAUUUUAGUAAAAGGUUUACUGGUCAAGAAUAAAUGAAGUUAUUUUGGAGGGUUGUAAAGGCUAGUACUGUGGAGAAGUUCAGAGGUGUAAUGGAGAAGAUCAAAUCUAUUGAUACUCAUAGAUCUAUGGUAAACUUAUAUAUUUUCUCUUUCAUUGCAAUGGAAUCAGAGUACUUUUUCUUCUUCAUUUGUUCCAUGUCUUCCUUCACCUUCUCUACUUCGGUCUUCAGUGCUACUAAUUCAGCUUUCAUUCCCUCCACCACUUCCAUUAAAGGCAUCUGUACAGGUUCUACAUCCAACGAUUUCCAAUAUUUGCAUUUACCCUUCAACACAAAAAAUUCAAAAGGAGAUUUCAAAUCUGGAAUAAAUGAAUCAGAAAAGAGGGAAAAUUCAAGUGAAAUUGCUUACCUCAUUGCACACCAUGAAAUGCCUCCUUAGAUUCUUUGGUGUUGUUGAUGUUAAAUUACGUGCAAGGAACCCAUAAUCACAAGUUUUUGGAUCAUUCACUGUGGAUUUCUUGCUUGAUCGAUUGAGGGAGGAUAAGAAGCUGUAGGAAGAAGCCAUCGGGUAUUAGGGCAUCAGGGUAUUAGGGCACAAUAAAGGAACAACAUACACCCCUCUUUUAAUAACAAUAACCCUACAUGCCACAUAGGAUCAAACUGACACGUAGGAUCAAUAAAUCCAUUGCAACCGGCAAAAAACAAUCGGAAGGGGAACAUUAGCAUAAUUCAACAAGUUAAAGGGUUAAUAGAGCACGGAAAAAAAGUUCAGUGACCAAAGGCAAAAGUAUGUUACCCUCUCAAGUCAUUAUCCAUUCUUUUAUCCAUAAUAUUGGCAAUUGCCUUGGUUCAGUUACAGUAUUUUGUUACAUAUAGGUAUUAAGAUAUUGAUUCCUUAUGUAAUUUUAGAUGUUUGUAAGACACGUCAUAAUUUUUUACAUUUUAGGGGUUUAAUUAAAAGCUCUCAAUGGUUGCUUUCACCACCACAACACAGACUUUCAUAUAUGGCCUUUAAUCCAUGUACGAAACACUUAGCAACAGACAAAAGUGAUCACGUGUUGUGGACUAAUUUUUAGUGCCAGAGUUAGCAACAACUCUUCCUAAUCAGCGAUAUCCAUCGAUAAACCUAUAGAGUUUAUAUUCCAACUUGCGUAGCCGAAGAUUAAAAUUAAAACAACCAAAUAGGUAGCAACAAAUUUGUACUAGAUUUGCAACUAAAGUUUAUCCACUACAAGAAAUUAGGGCCUUUACCCACACAUGUUAUGUGUUGGUAAAAGCCGCUUAUGUGUUGGUAAUAUGUUUUACCUAAACAUAAGUUAAGUGUCACUAUGUGUUGGCUCAUGCCUGUUGGAAUAGAUCAUUACCAACACAUAAUUUAUGUGUAGCUAAAGAGUAAUAUAUACCUACACAUGUAUGUGUGGCUGAAAGUAAUAAGUAUGUGUGGGUAUCAGUGUUGUAAAACUCGCCGAGUUGGCCGAUUACUCCUCCAAGUACUCGCUACUCCCCCCCUUGCCGAGGCGAGUUACAAAAUCCCGAGUACUCCCCGAUCGGUCCCUUACGAACUGAGUAGUGUUGUGAAAUUCGGUCAACUCGGUGAUUAAUAUGUAUAAUAUACUUAAUGAUUUAUUAUUUAACACACACAUGUGAUUAUUACUACAUAUAUAUAUCUUAAAUUUUCAGUAAUUAUUCACGAAGUGAGACCAUUAUGUGUUUUUCAUUUUUUGUGUAUUCACAUGUAUCCAAUUUUGUUAUAUAUUUCAAUCAACUUAUGAUUUUAUCUUAUGAUUUUGACAUAUAUAAUUUCCCUAAAAAUAUUUCUACACAAAAUUCCAAAUCCGAGUACUCCCCGAGUACUUUCGAGUACUCCCAAGUACUCGCUACUCGGUAGUCGGCCGAACAGGUACCGAGUAACGAGUUCUACAACCUUGGUGGGUAUAAGUAUUUUGAUUUGUUUGAGAUGUCAAUGACGUGGCCAUUGACGUAGUUGUUGACAUAGCCGCUGACGUGGAUUGCAAGGAUGACGUGGUUAAUGACGUGUCUCAAAACUAUGUGUGGGUAAUUGUAUUUUUAUGUGUAGAUAAUAUUAGUAUAUGUGUAGGUAUCGAGUCUGACAUGAGUUGGUAGUCGGUAAAAAUAUAUUUAUAUGUGAUAUUAAAAAGCAAUGUUUUAAAAACCGGUUUUUUAGUUGAACCGGUAUGGUGACCGGUUCCCGGUUCGACCGCCGAGUGAACCGGUUUCUAUAUUUUUCAUGUUUUUUUCUAUUUUCCUACACAUACAUACAUAUAUAAAUUAUAAAUUUGAUGUUUACAAGUUCAAACAUUAAAAAUACACAUAAAAAUAAGUUGUAAAUGAAUCAAAAUACAUUAAAAUAAUACAUAACCAUAAGUUUUAAUGUUUUACAUCAAUCCAUAUAUGCUAAAAAGAAAAUAAAAUAUAAUACCAAAACGAAAUAUAGCUUUAGAUGAAUACAACCACAUCAAAAAACUUUAUAAAAUUUAACAUAUGUUUUUAUUUAGAGAAAACUAAAUAUAUUUGAAAAAAAAAAUACCAAAGUUUAUUAUGUAAAUAUUUAUUUUUCAUGUGUUUUUAUUCGGAUUAACCGGUUCAACCGGUUUUUUCUAAAAACCGGUCGGUUCAAUCCGGUUCAGAAAUCAAUGUAAAACCGGUGAUAGUUGAACCGCUCCUCCCCCGGUUCCCGGUCCAACCGGUUCAAACGGCCGGUUCAAACCGGUUUUUAAAAUAUUGAUUAAAAGUCAUGUAUGUAGGUAAUAUUGUUCGAUAUAUACAAAAUAAAUACAAGCAUUUAUAUAAAUAGAAACAUGCACUAAAAAUAUCAUUAUAAAUUAAAUGUUAUCUAACAUAAUAAUUCAAACCACAAGAAAAUUACAAGUUAUAAAACUUAAAAUACUUCAACCACCACAUAUAAACUAAUCAUAAGUAUACUUUUAAAUACUAAAAAUUCAUGAAUGUUCAUUCCAUGUCAUCAUACCUAUCAACAUUUUCACCACAUACAUCACCAAAUUGUCCUAAACGUAUCACCAGAUUGUCCUAAACGUGUGUGGUAAUGUACCACGCUUGGAUGUAUCACCGUGAGAUUGUCCUCAUGAUGUGGUUAGAGGAUGAGGCAUGAUAUUUUUCUCAAUAAAAAAUUGUUGUAUAGCUAUGCACAUUUUCCUUUCAAUGUUUCCAAUUCAUCCACAAAUUCAUCGUCACUAGAAUGCUUAGAGUUCUUAGAAGAACUCGCGGUGUUACCAUCGACAACAAAAUCACGUCCCUACCAGCAAAAACGUACCAAGCUUCUUCCAAGUAUCUUCUGUAAAAUCAACUUGUCGUUCAUUUAUUCCACAUGAUGCUCGUUUCUCAUCAUUUUCAUUACUUCCUGUUAGUGCAAAAAGUAAGAUGAGUAAAAUAAAUCAAUUAUUUACCAAAUAAUGCAUAUUCAACUGUAGAAAUGAGCACCUAAAUUUACAUAUUUUGCAGCCAUAUGCAUAGAUAUCAACCUUUUUCUUCAUACCAAUAGUGGGCGGGAUAGAGGUAUAAUGUUAUUAUCAUUCUCAUUAAAGAAAAGUAGGGGUGUCUAAAUUUUCAAGUACAAGAACAAACAUAUCAGUGAUACAUACUGCAUUCGCAAAAAAAAGAUAAAUGUAAACAAUCAAUAAUAUAUCUAUAAACCACAGAAGGUGAAAACAGGAACAGUGGAUUGUGAAGACUGAAGAAUAAUGGAGUAGUCGUACCUUGAUUCCUAAAACUCGUUUUUUCCCCGUGAUACCUCGUCGAGCGUUCACCGUGUUUAGGGUUUUGUGGAGUUUUUUGGGAUGAUAACAAUGAAGCAGCAAAAUCAUUACCUUCUAUAAACCCCAUGACUCAUGAAUUACGGAAAGGAUUCUGAUUUCAAAUCGAAUCGUGAAAAUAGGAGGGGAUUACCCAAUUACUUCGCAAUGGUGAUCUCCAAUCCGUUUCUUUUAAUUUGUAUGUUAAAUUUCAUUUAAAUGUUGUUUUAAUUCUUUGUGGACGAUUGACUUGCCACAUCAAUUUUUUUUUAAUUUAAAAUUUUAAUAGAAUAUUUAUAUUUAUAAACUAAUAGUAUAUGUUGCCAGUUGCUAAAAUUUUAAAAAUUAACCCACAUACGUUUGAAUUAUAUAUACAUGUGUAGUCAAUUACCGAUAGAUAUUCAAUUAUCAACUACGUGCAAGUAUUUAGCUUGCCACAUCAUUAUCUAAAACUAAUAAAGAAAAGAGUGAAACAAUUAUUUAUAUAUUUAACUACAUAUUUAUAUACUAAAAUUUAAUGAAUUAUCAACACAUUU